Molecule: long non-coding RNA, 251 nt
Organism: Aedes albopictus (Asian tiger mosquito)
Lineage: Eukaryota; Metazoa; Arthropoda; Insecta; Diptera; Culicidae
Exons: 2
Source: RefSeq, a predicted model, not a curated record
CGAUCAGAAACGAAUUGAAUUGCACCGUGAUUUGGCAGAAAUUAUCUUUAUUGUAAAAUACGUUUUUUCUCGCAUUUAUUGAAUUCGAUUCAGACUUAAACCUAUAUCUAAAAAACUAUUGCGGACAGACAGACAGUUAGGGAAACAGAUUAAAAGGAACUAUAAACGUAAGUAAUUAUUGAAAUAAUGCGUAAAAUAUGUUCAAAACUUAUUGAAAUACACUUCCGCAGCUUAAAGCAUUAUCCCAGAAA